Molecule: ribosomal RNA, 253 nt
Filed under: uncultured bacterium
Lineage: Bacteria
Description: partial 16S ribosomal RNA
Rfam family: Bacterial small subunit ribosomal RNA
Source: RNAcentral
UACGAAGGGGGCUAGCGUUGCUCGGAAUCACUGGGCGUAAAGCGCACGUAGGCGGAUUGUUAAGUCGGGGGUGAAAUCCUGGAGCUCAACUCCAGAACUGCCUUCGAUACUGGCGAUCUUGAGUCCGGGAGAGGUGAGUGGAACUCCGAGUGUAGAGGUGAAAUUCGUAGAUAUUCGGAAGAACACCCGUGGCGAAGGCGGCUCUCUGGGACGGUACUGACGCUGAGACGCGAAAGCGUGGGGAGCGAACAGG